This 492-nucleotide ribosomal RNA is filed under the name uncultured bacterium. Its description in RNAcentral is "partial 16S ribosomal RNA". It matches the Rfam family "Bacterial small subunit ribosomal RNA", at positions 29 to 507 of the family's 1533-position model. The record is from RNAcentral.
AGUGAACGCUGGCGGUAGGCCUAACACAUGCAAGUCGAACGGCAGCACAGUAAGAGCUUGCUCUUACGGGUGGCGAGUGGCGGACGGGUGAGGAAUACAUCGGAAUCUACUUUUUCGUGGGGGAUAACGUAGGGAAACUUACGCUAAUACCGCAUACGACCUACGGGUGAAAGCAGGGGAUCUUCGGACCUUGCGCGAUUGAAUGAGCCGAUGUCGGAUUAGCUAGUUGGCGGGGUAAAGGCCCACCAAGGCGACGAUCCGUAGCUGGUUUGAGAGGAUGAUCAGCCACACUGGAACUGAGACACGGUCCAGACUCCUACGGGAGGCAGCAGUGGGGAAUAUUGGACAAUGGGCGCAAGCCUGAUCCAGCCAUACCGCGUGGGUGAAGAAGGCCUUCGGGUUGUAAAGCCCUUUUGUUGGGAAAGAAAAGCAGCAGGUUAAUACCCCGCUGUUCUGACGGUACCCAAAGAAUAAGCACCGGCCAACUUCGUG